This 1918-nucleotide long non-coding RNA is filed under the name Homo sapiens (human). RNAcentral's name for it is "HSALNT0009281". The record is from RNAcentral. Lineage: Eukaryota; Metazoa; Chordata; Mammalia; Primates; Hominidae.
UCUUAGGAUAGUAUAUCAGUCAGGGUUCUCCAGAGACAAAGAACGAAUAGGAUAUCUAUGUCCCUGAGAGGGAAUGUUUUAGGGGAACUGGCUCACGUGAUUAUGGAGGCUGAGAAGCCACAUGACAGGCCAUCUGCAACCUGGAGACUAUAGGAUGAUGGUAGCAUAGCUCAGUUCAAGUCUGAAGACCUCAGAACCAGGGAAGCUGAUGGUGUUACUUUCAGUCUAAGGCCAAAGACCUGAAAACCUGUGCCAGGGUAAGAAGUGGGAGCACUUGGCGCUUGUGCAAAUCCCGGAGUCCAAAGGGUCAAGAGCCUGGAGUUCUGAUGUUCAAGGACAGGAGAAGGAAGACUCCUUUAUUGCCAUAUGAAACUAUAAUUUUGACUGCGAGAAUGCUGCCAACAUUUCAGGCAUUCUGUAGAAUCUGCCCACUAUUUACUGGAAUGAACCAGAGCCAACUUAACCUGAUAAUUAAUUGUUUAUCAACAGACUGGAGCUUGAUAAAUACAGAGGGACAAGAGGCAGGAUAAUUCUGGACAGAAGACAACAGAUGCCCAGCGAGGGCCCCACCCUCAAGACUGGAACCACGGCCCAAAGUGGAACAAACAUUCCUGUUUUCCCUCUUGAAUGUUGCCUUAUCCAAAAUCACCCAUGGCCUGCCCUGCCCCCCAUCCUGUGCCCAUAAAAACCCCAGGCUUCGCUGGCAGAGGGAGGAGAAGAGGAGAAGCAGCUGGACGUCAAAGACUAUGGUUGGACAUUGGAGAGAAGCAGCUUGACUUGAGAGGGACGGCUUGACGGCAGAGCUUUGAAGAAUCCUAUGCCGGACUCUGGGGGAAGAUUACCUUCUCGCUCCAUCACCUUUUCAGCUCCCCUUCCCACUGACAGCCACUUUCAUUGGCAAUAAAAUCCUCUGCAUUUACCAUCACCAAUUUGUUCAUGUGACCUCAUUCCUCCUGGAUGCCCAGUAAUUACUCGCGUGCGAGUAGGAAAGGCUGUCACACUGAUCCUCCACUGAGCUGUUAACACCUAAGCCAUCUGCGGAUGGCAAAGCUAAAAGAGCACUGACUGCAACUCUCUUUCUGGGGCUUCGGGGUCAUGGGCACCCCCACGAAUGCUGCCGAAUUUGUUCCUGCCGGUGUCCAAAAGUGCUUGCCCUGGCUCCCGCACCCGCUCACCUGCGUGCUCCCUCCCACUAGGGGUUGAGUGCGGCAGCUUCCAGUGAGUGGAGUUCGCCCUUGCCAGCGCCUGUGCACUCCAGUUCCUGCCCACGAAGGGGUCAGGGAAACAAAAUGACUCCUGGUCUAGAAAGAUAGGAACCUGUCUUUUAGAAUUUUAGUUGCCUUUCUUAAUUUCUGCUAUGUUAAUUUGGAAAUUAUCUAUAAAUGAUCUCUCCACUUUAACUGGUUGGAAUUCAAAUGUCUCCCAGCCUUGUGUGAACUUUGGGUUUGCUCAGCUUAUACGACCCUGGUAGUUUUUGCCCAGCUUCAUGGAGUUCUAACUUCAUGCCAAAUUUGCUGCGUAGAUUAGAAUUCAGCAACAAACUCAAGGAGACUUACCGUGUUCUUUCUCUUCUUAGCUGCCUCCUUUCUAAUUCACUGCCUCACAAGUCACUUCAGUCUCACUGAACUCUGGUCUCUGCCUCCUCAAUAUUGUGAGCCUGCUCUGCUCUGCUUGGGUUCUCCUUCUCAGUGCGAUGCCUUGUGGCAAAAAGCUUGGGUGAUAAUAAGGCUGAUCUUGUUUGUUUUGCUUCUUUUGGGGAUCUAAGUCCGUAAGAGGACUUUGAUCCUGUAUAUCAAAGUCCUGUGUUGCUUGUUGUCUCAUGUUUGAAAAUAACGGUUUCAUAUGUUUCUGGUGGGAUGGCAAGUCUGGUACUUCUUACUCCACUGUGGUGUCUGUUGAAACAAAUAAUAAAACUUUG